UGCAAGUCGAGCGGUAAGGCCUUUCGGGGUACACGAGCGGCGAACGGGUGAGUAACACGUGGGUGAUCUGCCCUGCACUUCGGGAUAAGCCUGGGAAACUGGGUCUAAUACCGGAUAUGACCUCCUAUCGCAUGGUGGGUGGUGGAAAGAUUUAUCGGUGCAGGAUGGGCCCGCGGCCUAUCAGCUUGUUGGUGGGGUAAUGGCCUACCAAGGCGACGACGGGUAGCCGACCUGAGAGGGUGACCGGCCACACUGGGACUGAGACACGGCCCAGACUCCUACGGGAGGCAGCAGUGGGGAAUAUUGCACAAUGGGCGAAAGCCUGAUGCAGCGACGCCGCGUGAGGGAUGACGGCCUUCGGGUUGUAAACCUCUUUCAGCAGGGACGAAGCGCAAGUGACGGUACCUGCAGAAGAAGCACCGGCUAACUACGUGCCAGCAGCCGCGGUAAUACGUAGGGUGCAAGCGUUGUCCGGAAUUACUGGGCGUAAAGAGUUCGUAGGCGGUUUGUCGCGUCGUUUGUGAAAACCAGCAGCUCAACUGCUGGCUUGCAGGCGAUACGGGCAGACUUGAGUACUGCAGGGGAGACUGGAAUUCCUGGUGUAGCGGUGAAAUGCGCAGAUAUCAGGAGGAACACCGGUGGCGAAGGCGGGUCUCUGGGCAGUAACUGACGCUGAGGAACGAAAGCGUGGGUAGCGAACAGGAUUAGAUACCCUGGUAGUCCACGCCGUAAACGGUGGGCGCUAGGUGUGGGUUCCUUCCACGGAAUCCGUGCCGUAGCUAACGCAUUAAGCGCCCCGCCUGGGGAGUACGGCCGCAAGGCUAAAACUCACAGGAAUUGACGGGGGCCCGCACAAGCGGCGGAGCAUGUGGAUUAAUUCGAUGCAACGCGAAGAACCUUACCUGGGUUUGACAUAUACCGGAAAGCUGCAGAGAUGUGGCCCCCCUUGUGGUCGGUAUACAGGUGGUGCAUGGCUGU
Molecule: ribosomal RNA, 978 nt
Filed under: Rhodococcus sp. (in: high G+C Gram-positive bacteria)
Lineage: Bacteria; Bacillati; Actinomycetota; Actinomycetes; Mycobacteriales; Nocardiaceae
Description: bacterial SSU rRNA
Rfam family: Bacterial small subunit ribosomal RNA
Source: RNAcentral